CAUUAAGAAGCUAUGCACCAGCACUAGCCUUUUAAGCUAGAGAAAGAGGACCCACCCCUCCUUAAUG
RNAcentral lists this transfer RNA (67 nucleotides) under Bucco macrodactylus. RNAcentral describes it as "tRNA-Lys". The record is from RNAcentral. Lineage: Eukaryota; Metazoa; Chordata; Aves; Piciformes; Bucconidae.